Long non-coding RNA from Brassica napus (rape), 1974 nucleotides. RefSeq lists it as uncharacterized. The record is from RefSeq and is a predicted model, not a curated record. The transcript is spliced from 3 exons. Lineage: Eukaryota; Viridiplantae; Streptophyta; Magnoliopsida; Brassicales; Brassicaceae.
CCGAUCGUAGUUGACCGAAAAUGACACGGUUGAUGUUCUUCGAUGGUCGAUCCGAGGUUCUCAUAAUACUUCUUAUCGCCUUAGAUCAACAAUCAAAGAACACCAACGCUCCUAUCAGAUAUCACUCUAGGUUUUUCAACCCAAAAAAGCAAUACCCAAUAGUUAGUUCGUCCGGACAAGGACUAAUAUCAUAUGGAACUUGUACUUUAAAAACUUUCUUUAUCUAUAUCAUUUAAAAGCAUCUUACAAAAUCUAUACUUACUAUACUAAAAGGUAAAUAAACUCAAUGAUUAAGGCAUCCACAUCAGACUAUAAAAUUAGCUAAUAGGGAGCUUCCAAAUGUCCACUUCAGCAAUAAAUAGAUCUCACUCAAAAAAAUACGUAAUAACGUUUUGUUUCAAUCUAAAUAAAAAAACCUAAAAGCCAAAAUCCAAAAGUCGGAGACGUCGAUUGUGUAACGUCCACCACCAUCAAAGCUAUUAAAAGCUUCAACUCAUCCAUACUCAUCAUCUCUCUCCCGAAUCCAAAUCUCCUCUGGUAGCUGAGAAACAGUCAGAUUUCCAGAUCCAAAGCUUUGAAUAAAUCUAGCACCAAAGCUCCGGCAAUAUCAACCAGCGCAUCUAUGUCUAAGAAUCCAGCGAAAUCACCACUAAAGCUCCAACUGAAUCGACCACCAGUUCCAUGGAUAAGAAAAAAGGGGUUGCUUGGCUCCAUCUACAGCUUCGAAUCCUGCAAAAAGAAAGAUCCUCAUAGGGCAAAGAGGUCCAUAAAGAAAAGCCGUGUGGAUUGUGUCGAUUUCUUCAUCAGAAGUUUCUAUGGAUCCGUGAAAACCCAUUUGAUACAGCCUGGUGAUGUCUGUUUUAGAGUUUUCUGAAACGCAAUGCAUCCAUAUCAGAUGUUGGAGGUUGAGAAGACAAUACAGGAGGCGAAGAAGGCAAGUCUCUAUCUACAAUAUGCUAAUGUUUUCCUUCUCACUAGGAAACUGAGGAUCAUGUUUUGUUUUGUUUUUGGGCAGCCACCAAAGAAGCGAGGACCUUAUUAUAGCGCAGAAGUUGUUUUUAGUAGUCAAGAGGAAGCAAAUCAAGCAUUUGAUAACGUUAAUGGAGAUAUAGUUAAGGUACUUGGGAUCAUCUCUCUCACUGUGGUCAUGUUCAUGAUCUGUUGCUAUCUUUAGAAAAUCUAUAGGAUGUGUAUGCCAUCUCUUUCUUUCAGGAUAAAAUGGGUUUGUCACAAAAAAAAUGGUUGAGUUUAAGAUGAUGAGUUCUGGAUCAGUAUCUAGACUAUACGUUCGUAAAAAUGUUCAAGACAGACAGUGAAGUCUCUGCCAAGAAGAGAAGUAACACAGAGGAGAUCAAAUUGAGUUCUAAGAGACAGAGGAGGGAGAAUGAUGCUGAGGAGACAAGAGAAGACAAUGUAAACCAUGGCAGCAGCCGAGAGAGGUAAAUGUGAAAAUCAUAUAAAGGAAAUUGAAGAACUGAAGGAGAAUCAUAGAAAGAAAAUUGAAGAACUGAAGGAGAAUCAUAUAAAGGAAACUGAAGAACUGAAGGAGAAGCUCAAAGCCAAGGAACGUGAGUUUGAGCGCAUAUGUGAAAAUCAUUUAAAGGAAACUGAAGAACUGAAGGAGAAGCUCAAAGCUAAGGAUCGUGAGGUUGAGGCUCAGGAUAAGAUGAUAAGUAACCUCAAAAAGAAACUGAAGAAAAAGUGAAAGACUAACGUUUGAGAAUAUUAUGGUGUGACUUUUCUAGAGAAGUUUAUCAGAGACCUAUUAUUUUCACAUUGAGCUUAUGUGCUUUUUGUUUAGUCUUUGUGCCAAUUUGUUAUCAGCACUUUUUUCUUUGCUGUAAGGUGACAAAGACGGAUGGAACCAAAACAAUCACGAGAAAGAUUCGUGUCCCUUUUGGAUAUGUAAACACUUUAUAUUUUCAAUUUGGGUAGAAAAAAUAGGAAGAUGUUUGAGGGAACAUAUUAAAAUUG